RNAcentral lists this ribosomal RNA (646 nucleotides) under uncultured bacterium. RNAcentral's name for it is "bacterial SSU rRNA". It matches the Rfam family "Bacterial small subunit ribosomal RNA", at positions 44 to 715 of the family's 1533-position model. The record is from RNAcentral.
AUGCUUAACACAUGCAAGUCGAACGGGAGUAGCAAUACUCCAGCGGCAGACGGGUGAGUAACGCGUGGUCAACCUUCCGUUGAAUGGGGGAUAACUAGCCGAAAGGUUAGCUAAUACCGCAUACGAUCUUUAAGCGGCAUCGUUUGAAGAUGAAAGAAGCAAUUCGUUCAACGACGGGACCGCGUCCCAUUAGCUAGAUGGUGGGGUAAUGGCCUACCAUGGCGACGAUGGGUAGCUGGUUUGAGAGAGCGACCAGCCACACUGGGACUGAGAAACGGCCCAGACUCCUACGGGAGGCAGCAGUGAGGAAUUUUCCGCAAUGGGCGCAAGCCUGACGGAGCGACGCCGCGUGUGGGAAGAAGGCCUUCGGGUCGUAAACCACUGUCGAAGGGGAAGAUUAUGACGGCACCCUUGGAGGAAGCCCCGGCUAACUACGUGCCAGCAGCCGCGGUAAGACGUAGGGGGCAAGCGUUGUUCGGAAUUAUUGGGCGUAAAGCGCUCGUAGGCGGGAUUGGAAGUCCGUGCUGAAAGACCUCGGCUCAACUGAGGGACCGGCUCGGAUACUCUAAUUCUUGAGGCAAUCAGAGGAUGAUGGAAUUCCCGGUGUAGCGGUGAAAUGCGUAGAUAUCGGAAGGAACACCAGUGG